This 497-nucleotide ribosomal RNA is filed under the name uncultured bacterium. RNAcentral's name for it is "partial 16S ribosomal RNA". It matches the Rfam family "Bacterial small subunit ribosomal RNA", at positions 28 to 507 of the family's 1533-position model. The record is from RNAcentral.
GAUGAACGCUGGCGGCGUGCCUAAUACAUGCAAGUCGAGCGAACGGACGAGAAGCUUGCUUCUCUGAUGUUAGCGGCGGACGGGUGAGUAACGCGUGGAUAACCUACCUAUAAGACUGGGAUAACUUCGGGAAACCGGAGCUAAUACCGGAUAAUAUUUUGAACCGCAUGGUUCAAAAGUGAAAGACGGUCUUGCUGUCACUUAUAGAUGGAUCCGCGCUGCAUUAGCUAGUUGGUAAGGUAACGGCUUACCAAGGCAACGAUGCAUAGCUGACCUGAGAGGGUGAUCGGCCACACUGGAACUGAGACACGGUCCAGACUCCUACGGGAGGCAGCAGUAGGGAAUCUUCCGCAAUGGGCGAAAGCCUGACGGAGCAACGCCGCGUGAGUGAUGAAGGUCUUCGGAUCGUAAAACUCUGUUAUUAGGGAAGAACAUAUGUGUAAGUAACUGUGCACAUCUUGACGGUACCUAAUCAGAAAGCCACGGCUAACUACGUG